UGCUCUGCCCUUAGGAGCUGGUUGGACGCUUUGCGCGAUGAUCACGCCUCUUCCGCCAGCAAAUUCGACCUCCCGGCGUCUGGGCGGAGAGUCGCCCAGGGGCAGAGCGCUCAGCUAGGGCGCGUGCGAACUCUUCUGUGGUUUGUAAUCUGGACGUUCUGACUGCUUACUGCCACUCAUCUUUCAACCCUGUGUCACCAGCCUGCUUAUGCCAAUCUCGUCAGUACUUUCUUACCCUCAUGGUGCACAUCUUGGAAUAUUCCUCUCUUUGACACUCCUGGGUUUAUUACUGAUGGGAACCCCUUUCUUCUGGGCGAUGUUCUGCUUCGUCAGAUUUGCAUUCCUGGUGCCCCACUCCUUCUAACUACAGUGUCUCUCCAAGAACAAGUGAAGCGUCUCACCAAGAUCAGGAUGAUGCAGAGAACCAUGGGGUUACCUCGGGGCCCCCUGAUGCAAACAACACAAAAACAGGCUGCAUUUGGCAUGAUCAGAAUCCAGAGAUCGUGGGUGGCCAUCCCAUCAAGGGGAAUUUGCCACUUACUCAGGAGGAGGAUACGCUGUGAGACUUGGAAGAAACUCCAGUCCUGCAGUCAGUCUUACAUUCGUGUUAACACGAGUGAAAGGUGGGACGUUAGAAAUCCUACUUUGCAGGCGGACGAGAUGGGGAAACGCAGCUUCUCACGUGCUGUGUGA
This 693-nucleotide long non-coding RNA is filed under the name Sus scrofa (pig). RNAcentral's name for it is "lncRNA (ENSSSCG00070001856.1)". Lineage: Eukaryota; Metazoa; Chordata; Mammalia; Artiodactyla; Suidae. The record is from RNAcentral.